RNAcentral lists this ribosomal RNA (462 nucleotides) under uncultured bacterium. RNAcentral's name for it is "partial 16S ribosomal RNA". It matches the Rfam family "Bacterial small subunit ribosomal RNA", at positions 28 to 507 of the family's 1533-position model. The record is from RNAcentral.
GAUGAACGCUGACAGAAUGCUUAACACAUGCCAGUCAUUGGCGAAGCUGCGCUUGCGCAGUCUAGCCAAGGCGGACGGGUGAGUAACGCGUAAGGAACUUGCCCUGCAGACAGGGAUAACAGACGGAAACGACUGAUAACACCUGGUAUUGUCAGGCUGGCGCAUGCCGGCCUGAUGAAAGGAGACGCUGCAGGAGAGCCUUGCGUCCUAUUAGCUAGUUGGUGGGGUAACGGCCCACCAAGGCGAUGAUAGGUAGCCGGCCUGAGAGGGUGAACGGCCACAAGGGGACUGAGAUACGGCCCUUACUCCUACGGGAGGCAGCAGUGGGGAAUAUUGGACAAUGGGGGCAACCCUGAUCCAGCAAUUCUGUGUGCACGAAGAAGGUUUUCGGAUUGUAAAGUGCUUUCAGCAGGGAAGAAGAAAGUGGCGGUACCUGCAGAAGAAGCGACGGCUAAAUACGUG